This 497-nucleotide ribosomal RNA is filed under the name uncultured bacterium. Its description in RNAcentral is "partial 16S ribosomal RNA". It matches the Rfam family "Bacterial small subunit ribosomal RNA", at positions 28 to 507 of the family's 1533-position model. The record is from RNAcentral.
GAUGAACGCUGGCGGCGUGCCUAAUACAUGCAAGUCGAGCGAACGGACGAGAAGCUUGCUUCUCUGAUGUUAGCGGCGGACGGGUGAGUAACACGUGGAUAACCUACCUAUAAGACUGGGAUAACUUCGGGAAACCGUAGCUAAUACCGGAUAAUCUUUUGAACCGCAUGGUUCAAAGGUGAAAGACGGUCUUGCUGGCACUUAUAGAUGGAUCCGCGCUGCAUUAGCUAGUUGGUAAGGUAACGGCUUACGAAGGCAACGAUGCAUAGCCGACCUGAGAGGGGGAUCGCCCACACUGGAACUUGACCACGUUCCAGGCUACUACGAGACGGAGCAGUAGGGAACCUGCCGCAGUGGGCGAAAGCCUGACGGAUCGGCCCCGCGUGAGUGAUGAAGGUCUUCGGAUCGGAAAACUCUGUUAUGAGGGAAGAACAUCUGUGUAAGUAGCUGUGCACAGCUUGACGGUACCUAAUCAGAAAGCCACGGCUAACUACGUG